UUAUGGGUGCUGCUGAGGCUGCUGGGGACUCCCUCUCACCCGCUGCUUUCUGUGCCCAAAUAGGAAGGGAGGCCGACAAGACGCCGUUACAGAAGAUACCGGGAGAAUCACAGAGGUGAGCAGCCCUGGACAAGGGCAGGUGCCCUGGAAAGAUACCGCCUGGCCCCAUGUGCCAGCUGCCCUACCAGGGUCUCCCAGUCCACUGACUGUCUGUCUUCUCUGCCAACAGUUCGGGAUGCCCAUGACUCUUCAAAGCCCUCAAAGAAACCGUAAGUGGAACCAUUCACUCUGGAGUGUGACAGCCUUCUCUGGUCAACCCCACGAAAUGAGGUCCCGCUAAUGCUGUGCUUUGCCUCUUCACAGAUGUCCCAAACACCCGGAGCUGGAUGGUGUGCCUAGACUAACCCAACAGUUCAACACAAUCCUCGAGGACCUCAACAGAUACAUUGAAAUGUACAGCUUUGAGAUUACUGAGUGCACUGAUGACUCCCUCAAUCCCAUCAGUACAACGGAAACCAGCUCCUCUUCAGGGAUGUCUCUGUCCACUGGGAGAAGGAACUCCUGCACUUCUGUCGUCAAAAUGAAAGCCCACCGCUCUUCGAAGACCUCUCCAUCAUCCUGUAGCAAUGUAUCCAUCACUUCUGUUUUGGACAUGGAUCCCUGCUGCUCUUCAAGGGCCUCCUUUUCCACUUGGAGUGACAACUCCCUUGCUGCCAUUGUGGCAACAAACACCAGUUGCUCUUCAAAGGCCCCACUGAUCCCAUACAAGGACGACUCCCACACUUACACCAGGAUGAGUGAAGGUGCUUCACAGCUGUCACUCACAACUCUUCUGAACGGAGCAGACAUGGUUCAAGCUUCCACAGUCCAGCCUUGUCUGCUUCCCAGUACUGUCCCAGAGGAGCAGCAUGACAUGGGCACACAUCCACCCUGCACAGAAGAGAUGGCCAGCUGCCACAGGGCCUACAGAGUGAAGCAGCAACAGAAAGAACUCCAGGACCAGCAGGGUGCUCCCACCCUACCUCCACUGGUGCCUGAUUCCCAGUCCAGGGAAACGGAGGUGCAACAGAAAGAACUUCAGGACCAGCAGGGUGCUCCCACCCCACCUCCACUGGUGCCUGAUUUCCAGUCCGUGGAAACGGAGGUGCAAGAGAAACAAGUCCAGGACCAGCAGGGUGCUCCCACCCCACCUCCACUGGUGCCUGACUCCCAGUCCAGGAAAACAGAGGUGCCUUUCCCACAUCAAGAAACCCAGGAGACCGUGCACUGCCUUGCCCCAAGAAGGAAAGAAGAGGUGAAACUGGAGCUGCCGACUGAUGGGGUGUGUUCUUGGCAGGAUAGCCCAGCCUCAGUUCCUCAAAUGUCUCAGAGACAACCAAAGCCUGAUGUGGUAGUGGUUCCCAUUGUGAAGGACAUACCAUUCCUGGAUGAGGCUGUAAAAAGGCAGCUGGAGCGUCACAUUAUAAAAAAGCAGAUACAGCGGCGCUUUGGACUGCCAGCAAAGGUCCUGGCCUAUGAGAAGGACUUUUUAGAACCUAUCCUGGAGCAACAAGAAUCCCAGCCCCCAUCUUCGCAGAUACGCACUGGGCAGCCCUACCGGUCACCCUUCCAGCAGUGGGACAGGCGCACCACAAAGUCAGCAGUGCGACCCCCUGGCCUGCAGCAAGAGUCCGCAGCCCAGAAGAAUACAUGCACACGAGGGACACAGACACCAGACCAGUCUGUGCCAGCAGCUAUUCCAAGAGUGGCACAAAGGAUGCCUCAGGAGGAUGGGAAGAGACCACAUUGGAAAAGGGAGUCUGGAGGAACAGCCAGAAGCAGCAGCAUGACCAGCAAGAAGACUUUGCCUUGCACCAAGAAGGAUCAGGGCUCUGGGACACAAAGUGACGGUCAAGGUACUUCCCCUUCCAUCCAGGAAGAGCAGGCACCGCCACUGAGCGAGGGAGCUCCCCAGGGGCAUUCAGGACAGGACUGUGUGAACCACAUCAUCUCCACUGAGACACAAGAAUUGCAACUGGAGAAGAAUGUUCCCACGGGAGAAGCAGAGCACUCCCAGGAAGGCCAGGGCUGCAUCAGUGGGGAUGUGUGGUCACCUGAGCUGCCAUCCAACAGGACAUCUUCUCCAAGAAGUAGUUCCCCACAGACACAGCGCUGCUCUUAUGAGACACCCUCAGCUCUGCCAGUGCCUCCAGACUCUGCUGGGACCAGUACUCAGAUCCCCUACCUGGAAGAGCUGCUCACAACACUUGUGGACUGCUUCAUGGCCAGAACAGCUGCUGAAAACCUGGAGAACCAGCUGCUGGCUUUAUGGCUGGAGCAGAAUUCAAGCACGGAGCAUGCAGCAGAGCACCCCGUUGCCUCACCACAUAGAAGACCAAAAGAAUCACAGAAGAGCAAGAGGCACACCCAGGAUGGAUCUGGCUCCAGGAGACGCUGCCCCAAGUGCAGCAGAUCCCCGCACUACAACCUGCCUGGCAGCGAUGGCUCCCAGCCUUCAGCUCCAUCUGAGGCUGCAACCCCAGGUGCAGGAAGGGACAGGACACCAGGAGAGAGGCAUCCACCCAAGGAAAGAGCCAAGAGGAAGCAGGGCCAGAAGGUGACUGCUGCUGCCACCCGGAAGCAGGAGGGGAUCCGUGUGUACAAAGAGGUGAUACUGAUCCCUCCAGUUGAGCAGGAGAGGCUUCCAUCCCAGCAAGCCCCUGCCUGGACCCUGCCAUCAGGAACACGGAGGCUCCCCAGACGUGUAGCAGCCAGACACAGGAAUCCGAGGACAGAGACACCACCUCUGCCAGGCACCUUCUGCUGCGUGCUCACCCCCAUCUGCUUUUGCCUUCAGUGUGCCUGGGCCAUGCUCCGAGAUGCAGGCAAGGCCCUACUUGCCCGCAUCAAGAAGUGAGGUGAGGAGCCUCACAAAAAGAGAACCAAUGCUGGAAAGCAGAGUCUCACCAUGGGAUUAGGGGAUUGCUUGGACUUCCUGCAGAAAUGGAAAGCUGCAACCAUCCCUGCCUGGAGUCACCAGGGAGCAGCAGCUCUCCCAAUAAGCAUGUCUUUCCAAGCAACCUCUUGUGCGUUUCUUCUUUCCUUUGGAUGAGCAGAGGCACCAUUCCUUGCUCACUACUUGUACCUGCUUGAAUGGGCAAGAUGGGCAGCUCUGUUAGCACCUUUUGGAGGAGAGGCCAGGACUAGGAUGGCGCUCCAGGUGCCUGAGAGCAGGGACAUAGGGCUGGCCUUCCACCUGAGGCCUUCAGAGGCAGUGCGGGCUGCCCCCCUCCGUGGAAGUCCCCUGCACACCACACCUACGGUUUAGGUCUGGGAACAGUGUAGGUCCUUCAGGACAACAAGUGGCAGAGAGAAAGCACUCUGUGUGUCUGCCAGGGACAGAAGACGGAGGCCCAGUGCCUGUUGUUCUGGCUGCACUAGGACAGGCAGAGCAGGAGACGGGCGCCUCUGUGGGCAGGACUUCUGCUUCUUGCUGUGGGAUGGGCUGGGCCCAUCUCCUCUGAACCCCUGCCUCUCCCAUUCAAGGAGGGUCGGGGUUGUAGCAUGGAGGUGGUGAUCUGAAGGUCCUGGGAGGUUGCUGGGAUGACAGCCCGGAGCUCUGGGACUCAGCAGCAGCUCUAGCUGCCCUAGCAUGUGCUGAGGUGAGCAAAAGGCCAAGGAGGAGGACAUGAGCAGGAUCCCCAAGCCAGAGGAAGAGAGCAGUGAGAGCUGACACAGGGGAACACCAGUGAAAAGCUCUUGCAAGUCCCUCUUGCAAGUGCUCUUGCAAAGUCUUGCAUUUCCACACUUGCAUUUCACUAAGUGUGGAAAUAUUUAUGACCUUCACUUCCCUAUGCCAAACCAUUAAUUUGGUGCUUAAAAUUGAGUUCUCUAAGCUUAGUAACGCAUCCCUGUGAAAGUAGUCAGUGACCAGUGGCCCGGUUUUUAUUUCAGUCCAGGAGUUUUUUCACUGUUGUCCUUCACAUUAUCUCCCUGGUACCACUAGGAGUAAGGGUAAGGGAGGUGAGCUGACUGAGGGGGUUCCUGUCUGCCCAGCCACAGCGAGCCCUCCCCACCUUAAUUCCCAUUUCAGCAAAGGACCGCUGAGUGGCCAUACUCUUGGGAGCAGUGCUCCUCCUGGCUGGGGUGCUCCCUUGGGCAUUCACCAUUGUCACUGUGUCACCAUGGUUGCUUCGCUGGAUGCAUGAUGGCCAUGAAGAAGUUCAUGGUCUCUCAGAAGGGGGAGCACAGCUCAUGGGGGUUGAAAUCCCAUGACCAGGGGUUCAACCCUACCUAGUGAGAGGCCAGGGGCUUUGAAGGGCCCUGCGCAGGGCCAGCUCUCGGCACUGGGGUGGGCUGGCCAUGGCCCUGCUGCACUGAGCUGGCCCAGCUGGGCUGGCUGCUGCCUGGUGCUCGGGUGAAGGUCACCUCCUGGGGUUUAGCUCAGCUCAGGGAGGGCCACCUCAUCCCCGCUGUCCCUGCAUCACAAACGUUGCCAUGGCUGCGCGCUGCUGACAUCACAGCUGGUGAGGGAUGACAGCCCCGAGUCCACGCGCAUCACAAUCGGGGGCGGUUUAUGUAAGUGGGGCUGUGCAAGGCUGGCUGCCAUUUUGCCACGAGCUGACGAGCGAAGAGGGACAAGCUUGAGCUGGGAAGGUGGAGCAAGGGGACCUUGAGUGCGGUCCAGCUGAUCCUUUUCAAGCCAGCCAAGUUUGGCUCUCUGUGGCACGUCACAGGCAUGGCUGAUGCCUGGGGAAUGAGCUUCUACCCCAGCCCAGAAGCCUCCUUCUCAUUAUACUCCUUCCUGUGGCUGCUGCUGAUGGCAUUUGCCUGCUACUUCUUGAUACCCAGGGCAAAGCCGCAGGUAGGAGUCAGGGCUGGUGCUGAGGCAGGCCCUGCCUGGGAGGGGAGGCCGUGUCGCAGCCGGGCCUGGCCAGCCUGGGCCAGGAGGCUUGGGGCAGGCACAGGCCUGGCCCUGGCCAUGCCUUGGGUUUAUGGGUGCUGCUGAGGCUGCUGGGGACUCCCUCUUACCCGCUGCUUUCUGUGCACUUUUGUAGUGGGUUUACGUGGCAAGGUUUUGGUUAAGUGGGGGCAUAAGGUUGGCUUCUGUGAGAAGAGUCUAGAAGCUUCUCCAUGUUAGAUAAGGGGACCCUGCUGGCCUGAGCCAAGCCAAUGAGCAAUGUUGUUUUUGCUCUGUGAGAGCAGAUGGAAGAAAUGGGGGAAAAAAAAAAUCCUGCUGCUCUACAGCAGCUGAGAGAGAAAGGAGUGAGAAACAGCUGUUCAGUGAGGUCGGUGACCACAGGAAACCCAACAAUGUCUAUUAAGUCUGAUCUACUUUUCAUUAAAAUCAGUGACACUGAGAUUCACAAACAUUUCCCUAAGUUGUCUCAGUGGUAUGUUGGGAGAAAUGAGCACUUUCAGAGAGUUAUUCACCAAUAAGUGAGUCAUACUCUGAAAAAACUUUUUUUUUUCUAUUUUUUUUAUUUUUUCAUAGUUUCAUGAACAAGCUCCAUAAUAUAGAUUAGACUGUUGAUUUUAGGUGUUAAAAUUCAUUGAGAUUAGUCUUGGAGACUUUUUCUGGCAAUGAAAUCUAAGAUGAAACUAAUGGGUAUUCUUCAGACUUACGAAGGCCAACCUGUUGAUCUCCAUUUUCAAAGCUAGGUUUCUAUUUAACAUCUUUGCUUGAUAAGGCACAGUGGUCUGCAAACCUUUUAUAGAUUGAUAAAGAAUGGCACGGGAUUUUCAGCUCCCACUUUUUUUUUUUUUUUUUUUUUUUCCUGUGGCUAUGGUGAUCUUUGGUAGUUUCUCCUUUCCCUUGUUGCUGAGAAAUGCAAUAUGUAAAAAAGUUCAUUUUGAAAUGAAUUUUGAAAUUCAUUUGAAAACAGUAAACAGUUUUUCUACCCCUCAUGAUGGUAUAAGAGAUGCUUUAAAAAAGAAACCAUGAAUAGGUAGUAAAAUUGUGAUAUUUUAAUGUUUCUGUAGAGUUGAAUUAUUAUAGUCACAUCAUAGCUUGAAUGUUCUGAAAAACACUCUCAAAAUAAAUGCAUAUUCUCAUAAUACAAUCUAUUAGUGAACUUUAAAGUGAACUUUAAUUGCUGAACUAUUUGUCAAGGAAAAAAAUAACUAAAUGUCAGAAACAUUCCUAAUUUUUGUACAGGACUCCAAGAAAAUAUCUUUCCAAUAUUCUUUGUACCAACAUUGAGUAGGGUUUCACAGAAAAUAUAAAGGUUUGUGUGAACUUGCUGUUAGAGGCUGUGAACUACCUUCCAGCUCCUUCAGUAUCGGUUAGAAAAUAAAAAAAUAACUCUAGAUGAAAGAUUAGAACAGUAUGUUGAUGUCUUAUUAUUUCAAAUAUCAUAGCAGACUUUCUAGCUAUGUGAGAAAAAAUAAAUUAUCUGAACUGUGUAUGAAUAUGUUGACCAUCUACUUCAAAUUCUGCUAUGUAAAUCAGCCACAUGAUUGGAUUUCUUUAGGUUUAAUUUUGUUACCUCAAAAUUUGUGUAUGCAUGAGCAUACAUUUAUGUAUCUAUCUACCUUUGUGCAUAUGCAGGAUGUAUAAUUUCUAUUAAUACUGGUAUAUCAUAAAAUUUCAGAAAGAGUAUUCUCUAUUACUUGCAUCUGUGGAGUCACAAACAAUUUUUCCAAUUCUUGACUGACAUCUUAGUGAAGAACCAUCUCCUGAUAUCCACUCUGAACUUCUCCUGAUGCAGCUUGAAACCAUUUCCUAGCAUCCUAUCACUGGCCACUAGAGAGAAGAGAUCUGCACCUCCCUUUCUGCUCCUUGUCAUGUGGGAGUUGUAUACAGUAAUCAGGUCAUCUCUCAGUCUCUAUCUGAGCUGAACAAAGUCUCCUCAGCUGCUCCUCAUAUGUCAUGCCCUCUAUUCCUUUCACCACCUUUGUUGCUCUCUUUUGAACACAUUGUAAUAUUUUUAUAUCCUUCUUACAUAGUGGAGCCCAAAACUUCACACAGUACUCAAGGGGAGGCUGUGCUAGUGCCGAGUAUAGUGGGACAAUGACAAUUUAGAUAGACUGUUUAAUGCACCCCAUGAUGCUGUUGUCGGUUUUGGCUAUUAGGGCACAUCUUUGUCUCAUACAGAGCUUGCCAUCAACCAAAUCCCCCAGAUCCUUCUGUGUAUGGCUACAUUCCAGCCACUUGUCCCUCAGCCUAUAUGUACAUCCAGCAUUACACUGUCCCAGGUACAUAAUCUGGCUUUUGCUGUUUUUAAUUUUCAUGUGGUUGGUAAUUGCCCUGAGCUCAAAUCCAUCAAGAUUUUUCUGCAAGGUCUCUCUAUCCUCAAGGGAAUCAAUAGCUGCUCCUAAUUUAGUAUUGUCUGUAAACUUACUUAAUGUGUACUCAACACUUGCGUCCAGGUCAUUGUAAAAAACACUGAAGAAAACUGAACCUAAAAUUGAGCUCUGGGGAACUAGCAGCCAGCCUGAUGUUACCCCAUUUAUUACAACUCUUUGGGUCCAACCCUUUAGCCAGUUGUUCUCCCCCAGUAUUGUGUACAGGUCUGCCUGCAGGCUGGACAGCUUGGCCUGAAGGAUACCGUGAGAGGCAGUAUCAAAAGCUUUACUGAAAUCCAAAGAAACCACAUCCAUUGCCUUCCCUUUGUCCACUAUAACUUUGUAAUAAAAAGAUAGUAAG
Molecule: long non-coding RNA, 7627 nt
Organism: Cairina moschata (Muscovy duck)
Lineage: Eukaryota; Metazoa; Chordata; Aves; Anseriformes; Anatidae
Source: Ensembl